UAAAGGCUCAACCAAGCCAACGAUCUGUAGCUGGUCUGAGAGGACGACCAGCCACACUGGAACUGAGACACGGUCCAGACUCCUACGGGAGGCAGCAGUGGGGAAUUUUGGACAAUGGACGCAAGUCUGAUCCAGCCAUUCCCGCGUGCAGGAUGAAGGCCUUCGGGUUGUAAACUGCUUUUGUACGGAACGAAACGGUGAGCUCUAAUACAGUUUGCUAAUGACGGUACCGUAAGAAUAAGCACCGGCUAACUACGUG
This 259-nucleotide ribosomal RNA is filed under the name uncultured bacterium. Its description in RNAcentral is "partial 16S ribosomal RNA". It matches the Rfam family "Bacterial small subunit ribosomal RNA", at positions 258 to 507 of the family's 1533-position model. The record is from RNAcentral.